UAGCCCAAUAUUACAAGAGUUACCCCAAAGAGCAAGCAAAUCGGGUACAAUGGAUUUCACUGCUGUCUUAUUUAUUCACAGGACUAGCAGGGUGACUUAAGAAAUAAAUGUAAUAGUCAGAACAGCACUGCCGAAGCGGUCUAUCAUAAUUGCAUGCCUAGUUUUUAUAUACUUUGUGAACAAUCUCAUCCACUAUAUCUGAAUGUCAUAGUAAUAAUGUGAACAUCGCCACCUUCUGGGUGCUCUAGCUCAGAAUACACAAUUUUCAACAUUAAAUGUUCUUCCAGACUGGAUCAUCAUUUGGCCGCAAAAUGAUGACCGGCUACCUGUCAUCAAGAAAUGUCAAGGCUUGUGAGGGGUCCGUGUAUAUUUUGGUAAUUGGGUUUUCCGUUCUAAAGCAGGUAUUGAAAAACAAAAAACGAAUGGUUAUUUGAUUUUCGUUUUCAAAGGCAAAAAUUAAAAUUGAAAUACAAGGCGUUUUUCCUUUUCACGAUCAAAAAUGGAUAUACGAAUUUUUAAAAAUGCUUUGAUUUUCAUUUUUUAUUUACAAAAACAAAAAAUAAAAUAAGUCAGAGACAGAAACGAAAUAAGAACCGUUUUUCAUUUUCUGAGACCGGAAGUGGUCAUCAGCAAGGGUGGUCAGAUUGAAUCAGAGCCGAGGACUCUCUGUCCCGCCCACAUUUACCGGCUUCUGCUGUUUACGGACGCUGCCACCGCUGCUGCUAACAACGUUAGCUUCCAAAAGUGGAGAUAAACUCUACAGCCUUGGUCUGGAUCAUUGGGAACAUCUGAUCUGAUGGACUGAGAGCUACAGAGAACAUGAACAUCCAGCUGUGGUUGUCUGAACAGUCUUCUCUCCAUCACUGUGAGGAAGAGCAGCACUGAUGUCCUCCUCAUGCUUCCAUUAAGAACAAUGAUGCUGCAGAUUAAGCUCCUCUCUUCAUAAUACUUGUCUUGUGACUGUUCAGUUUUUACAUUUCACUGUCAGCAACACAUUAUUUAUUUCAUCCAUUUAUUACGUGUUUACACAUCUUUACAGUUCACAAUUGUUAAAUAAUGCAGUUUUUAAAUGUGCAAUGAAGGAAAUAAUGAAGCUCUGGAGCUGAAUGUGUUGAUGUUUUAAUGCUGCGUAUCUGCUAUAAAUAACAUUGUACAGGGUUUCUGCAGAUAUCAACCAGUCAAAUUUAAUGCUUUUUAAUGCCAUUUUUAUGCUAUACUGUAAAAAUUUAAUGCCACGACCAUGAACUCAAAAUACACGGGUUUGGUUUUUUUUGUAAAAGAUGAUUUUUAUAUGAAAACCCUACAUUUGACUAUUUCUGAAUCUGGGAACCACCCCUGAACACCAACGGGCUGCAGUCAUUCUCUGAAAUCCAUGUUUUUGAGCCAUUUUUGCUGGAAUUUGUGUUUCCCCAUUUCCCAGCCUGGUCCAGCCUGCCAGCCACUUUAAAAACAUGCAGUUUUUAGAAAUUGUACCCACCCGGCUGGAACAAUUAUCUCAAUGCUUCGGCAUGUUUACACAGAUGCACAUACCUGACAAAUCGCAGUCUAUAAAUAUAUUAUUGUCAAUUAUUUUCUUGAAAACUGCAGAAAGAAAUUUUAAUGCCACCGAGAAUCAAAUUUAAUGAUUUUUAAUGCCAUUUAAAGCCUUAAUUUCUGCAAAAUCAACUUAAUGACUAUUAAUGUUCUGCAGAAACCCUGUUGUAUUUCUGCUACAGCAGCAGAGAUGAAGUUAAAGGUGAUAAAUAGAAUCUGUGAAUACUAAGAACAGAGAAUAAUAAACUGCUGAAAGAGUU
Molecule: long non-coding RNA, 1793 nt
Organism: Acanthochromis polyacanthus (spiny chromis)
Lineage: Eukaryota; Metazoa; Chordata; Actinopteri; Pomacentridae
Exons: 2
Source: RefSeq, a predicted model, not a curated record